This 468-nucleotide ribosomal RNA is filed under the name uncultured bacterium. RNAcentral describes it as "partial 16S ribosomal RNA". It matches the Rfam family "Bacterial small subunit ribosomal RNA", at positions 28 to 507 of the family's 1533-position model. The record is from RNAcentral.
GACGAACGCUGGCGGCGUGCUUAACACAUGCAAGUCGAACGGAAAGGCCCUGCUUUUGUGGGGUGCUCGAGUGGCGAACGGGGGAGUAACACGUGAGUAACCUGCCCUUGACUUUGGGAUAACUUCAGGAAACUGGGGCUAAUACCGGAUAGGAGCUCCUGCUGCAUGGUGGGGGUUGGAAAGUUUCGGCGGUUGGGGAUGGACUCGCUGGUUAUCAGCUUGUUGGUGGGGUAGUGGCUUACCAAGGCUUUGACGGGUAGCCGGCCUGAGAGGGUGACCGGCCACAUUGGGACUAAGAUACGGCCCAGACUCCUACGGGAGGCAGCAGUGGGGAAUAUUGCACAAUGGGCGGAAGCCUGAUGCAGCAACGCCGCGUGCGGGAUGACGGCCUUCGGGUUGUAAACCGCUUUCGCAUGUGACGAAGCGUGAGUGACGGUAAUGGGUAAAGAAGCACCGGCUAACUACGUG